Molecule: long non-coding RNA, 1746 nt
Organism: Anas platyrhynchos (mallard)
Lineage: Eukaryota; Metazoa; Chordata; Aves; Anseriformes; Anatidae
Source: RefSeq, a predicted model, not a curated record
UUUGCAGCUUUCGUGGGCUCGCCACGUGCCCAGGAGUGAUUCACGGCUGAGGCCUGACAGUCAGGGGGAGGACGGGAGCAGCGAAAGGAAAAUGCUGGAGCUGCGCUUCUCGGCUCCAGGCUUAGGCAGGCAUUUCGGGUCUGACCUCCCAAACGCUUGUUUGCGAGCGUAAAAUCCGUGACCCCCCUGUCCUGGGCCACCCGAACUUUGCCCAGGAGCAGGGCUUGGCAGCCCUGGCGCCUCGCAUAGCUCCGGUGCGAGCGGAGGGCUCCAAACAAGAUAAGGCUGUGAUUCAGAAAUGCCCGUUAAUAACAGGCAGAUGAGAUAAGAGCCCCACGGAGCUGCGUGCAGCGCCUCUCCACAUGCUGCUGACACACGAGGUACCCCUUUGGAUGGAAAAAUGCAUGAGAACAUCACGGCACCGACCUGGGGACAAGAUCGAGGAAGGGGAGGCGUCGGAGCUUGCAGCCCAGAUGCCAACCUGCAGAAUUUGUCUGCUCUUCCCUCCCCUGCCUCCACCUCUGGCUGGGAGCCUGUCAAAAAUACAGCUGUGAAGAGGAAGCAGGUCUUUAAAAACAAAGGAGACAGCCUGUGGGCUCCCCAAGCGCUCCCCAGCAGCCCCUGCCCACAAAAACAUCAGUGCAGCCGAGCAGAAGUGACUUGGAGAAAAAAAAAAUGAUUAAAGGGGAAAGUGAAAGGAAGAGAACUGUGCCCCUCCUGGUGGAAGCAGCCCUGAGAUGGCAGUGCCCGCAUCCACGAGUCCUCCUCUGGGCAGCUGGAGCCCAGUUUGGGGCUGGCUGCUGCCUUCAUGUGUGAGCAGGGGGCAGGAUCACGCCUUCCCAAACAGCACAGCCUCUCCUGGCUGGGGCUGUGGAGGGCUCACGGAGCUGGGGAUGGAGCCUGAAAGCAUCCCGUGGCUCCCAGGGGAAAGACUUGGAGAGCUUGGGGUGCAGUGCUGGGACAGCUCAGGACUCCUUGACCCUCCCCAUCGGCGCUCAGCCCCCAGGAGCUGGGAUCGUCCCCCCCAUCAGCUGUGUUUUUAAUUAAAGGCCGGGCUCAAGGCUUUGCACUGCUUCCCAAACAACAAGCAGCUGUGUCAUCAGUGCCUGAGACUGCCGAGGCAUUCCCCAGCGAAAUCCAAGCGUGCCGUGUCACCGAGCUACGGGCACUGAGCCCCACACCGCCUGCACUCAGCGAUGGCCACAUUCACUGCGAGCUUUCUUGGGCUUUCUGCAACAAGAAACAGCGGUGACAAAGGCAGAAGGGCAAGGGCAGGUCUCGGUGUCGUUUCCAGGAAGGCAGAGCUCUUAAAUACAUGUGCAAAUUCCAACCUGAGAUCUCCGUGCCUGGGAAAUUACCCGGAGUACUAAACAACCCAUUAGCUCUGACCCUGGCAUAAUUGAAUCUGGAAAUUUAGUAGAGAGCCUGCCUCUCCUCACAGCGUUGAAGAUAAAGCCUAUCAGAUCGCAGAUAAAUUGCUGGCAUCGGGGAAAUCGUCUGCAGCAAACCUCUGUGCUGCACUCAGAACGUCAGCGGACGUAUUCCCGUGGUGGAGGGCGCAUCAGUCACACAGCACUAUUAGCACAGGGAGUGUUUAAACAGAUCGCAGAUAAGAGUUUGAAGAGGCUGCUCGCUAAGUGCACAGAUAAUCCCACUCUCCUGCACAGGAAAUGGGGGUUUCUUAAAAACAGGCUUCAUUUUGGUCAUUGUUUUCACGAGAAAAUUAAAGGAUUCUGCUCUUGGGUA